CCUGUUCGAGCGUCAUUGCAACCCUCAAGCACUGCUUGGUAUUGGAUGCCACCCUUUGUGGUGUCUCAAAAGUAUAAGCGGUAGCAUCUAGCUUCUAGCGUAGUAAUUUUCUCGCUCUGGAGUUUAAAUGUUUAACUGUUAGAACCCCUAAUUUUUCAAUGGUUGACCUCGGAUCAGGUAGGGAUACCCGCUGAACUUAA
RNAcentral lists this unclassified non-coding RNA (200 nucleotides) under soil metagenome. RNAcentral's name for it is "partial contains internal transcribed spacer 2 and large subunit ribosomal RNA". The record is from RNAcentral.